RNAcentral lists this ribosomal RNA (507 nucleotides) under uncultured fungus. RNAcentral's name for it is "SSU rRNA". It matches the Rfam family "Eukaryotic small subunit ribosomal RNA", at positions 569 to 1078 of the family's 1831-position model. Lineage: Eukaryota; Fungi. The record is from RNAcentral.
AGCAGCCGCGGUAAUUCCAGCUCCAAUAGCGUAUAUUAAAGUUGCUGCAGUUAAAAAGCUCGUAGUUGAAUUUCGGGACCAUCAUGUCGGUCGUGCCUCGGUACGUACUGGUAUUGUUGGUUUCUCCCUUCUGACGAACCAUGAUGUCAUUUAUUUGGUGUUGUGGGGAAUCAGGACUGUUACUUUGAAAAAAUUAGAGUGUUUAAAGCAGGCUCACGCUUGAAUACAUUAGCAUGGAAUAAUGAAAUAGGACGUUUGAUUCUAUUUUGUUGGUUUCUAGGAUCGACGUAAUGAUUAAUAGGGAUAGUUGGGGGCAUUAGUAUUCAAUUGUCAGAGGUGAGAUUCUUGGAUUUAUUGAAGACUAACUACUGCGAAAGCAUUUGCCAAGGAUGUUUUCAUUAAUCAAGAACGAAAGUUAGGGGAUCGAAGACGAUCAGAUACCGUCGUAGUCUUAACCAUAAACUAUGCCGACUAGGGAUCGGAUGAUGUUAAUUUUUUAAUGACUCA